Long non-coding RNA from Athalia rosae (coleseed sawfly), 1022 nucleotides. RefSeq lists it as uncharacterized. Lineage: Eukaryota; Metazoa; Arthropoda; Insecta; Hymenoptera; Athaliidae. The record is from RefSeq and is a predicted model, not a curated record. The transcript is spliced from 6 exons.
GGUCAGUCGUGCGUAGAAACUGCGGAGAAGAAGACCUGACGGAGCCGAUUCAAAGCCAGGAUGGCCAUCCUUGUUGUUCUUUUUUGGGAGAAACCAGAGAGGAGAGCUCGCGAGGGGGUGGAAAAGGACGACGAGGAGGAUGAGGAGAGACUUGGAAAGACGUUCGACGGGUCGUCGGAGGAUGAAGCGGGGUGAGCUUCGGGUAAAAAGAAGAAGAGAACGACGAAGAAGAAGAAGCAGAAGAAAAAGAAAUAGAGGGGGUGGGCGGGAACGCAAUUGAGCCUGCCACGAAGGAUGUUCCACGUCGUCGACCUUUGGAAGAAAAAAAAACGAUUCAACAACGAAAAUUGUAUCGGAUUUCAAACUUCCCGCCGAUAAGUACGCUGUUACCGACGGUUAAUAACAACGAGACGAGAGAGGGUUGAAAAAUUGGAUGCAUGGAAUCGAUUGAAAAAAGGUAAAAAUUCUCACCGGACUUCGAAAUGCGCUGGAUCAAUUUUCGAAACUUUGUCAACCUGUUGAAUAUCCAAACACAUCGAACAGUCUUCCGGAGGUCUGAAGAUUUGGUGAACAGCGGAAGGGAUGUCGACUAAACACUUUUAGAAGAAGAGAAAGACGAACGUGCAAAUUAUGAAGAAGUCUGGCCCCUCAUCGGAGGUAUUGAGAUUUCCUCAGAGCAUCUACAAAUCGUAUCAUCAUGUGUACAACAUAGAUGAUUUGUAGAAAUAAGCUUAUAUUUUUUAUCGAAAACUACCAGAUUAUUGAAACAAUGUCGAUUGAAAUGAGAACAUAGUCCAAACUAAUUGAUAUAAAUCGGUCAUGAUAUAUUGUAUAAACGUACUGUAUAAGUAAUAAUAUUUGAUUGUGAGUUAUCGAAUAACAAAUCAAAUGUGAUUGGAAAUAUAGGGAUUGUGAGCAUGAUUGUUGGUAUUGCAAGCACACUAUUUUAGGUUAUUAUGAAUAAAAUCAGUAAUCUUCGAGAUAUGUAUUUUGAAAAGUUGAUUGAUCAAUAAACCUGAACA